This 906-nucleotide ribosomal RNA is filed under the name uncultured archaeon. RNAcentral's name for it is "bacterial SSU rRNA". It matches the Rfam family "Archaeal small subunit ribosomal RNA", at positions 21 to 903 of the family's 1478-position model. The record is from RNAcentral.
CCUUACUGCUAUCGGGAUGGGAUUAAGACAUGCAAGUCGUGCGUCUCCGAGCAAUGGCGGAGACGCGGCGUACGGCUCAGUAGCACGUGGCUAACCUACCCUCGGGACGGGGAUGCCCCCGGGAAACUGGGGUUAAUUCUCGAUGGGUGAGGAGGCCUGGAAUGGUUCUUCACUGAAAGGGCGUUAGAGGCAUGCUCUCUAACGUUGCCCAAGGAUGGGGCCGCGACCGAUCAGGCUGUUGGCGAGGCAACGGCUCACCAAACCUAUAACCGGUACGGGCCGUGAGAGCGGGAGCCCGGAGAUGGGCACUGAGACAAGGGCCCAGGCCCUACGGGGCGCAGCAGUUGCGAAAACUCCACAAUGCACGAAAGCGUGACGGGGCUAUCCCGAGUGCCGUCCGCUGAGGAUGGCUUUUCCCUAGUGUAUAAAGCUGGGGGAAUAAGGAGAGGGCAAGCCUGGUGUCAGCCGCCGCGGUAAUACCAGCUCUCCGAGUGGUGGGGAUGCUUAUUGGGCCUAAAGCAUUCGUAGCCGGUUGGGCAAGUCCUCCGUUAAAUCCAGCGAUUCAAUCGUUGGACUGCGGGGGAUACUGUCCGGCUUGGGGGCGGAAGAGGCCGACGGUAUUCUCGGGGUAGGGGUGAAAUCCUAUAAUCCCGGGAGGACCACCAGUGGCGAAGGCUGUCGGCUAGAACGCGCCCGACGGUGAGGGAUGAAAGCUGGGGGAGCGAACCGGAUUAGAUACCCGGGUAGUCCCAGCUGUAAACGAUGCAGGCUAGGUGUUGGCGCGGCUACGUGCCGCUCCAGUGCCGCAAGGAAGCCGUUAAGCCUGCCGCCUGGGAAGUACGGCCGCAAGGCUGAAACUUAAAGGAAUUGGCGGGGGAGCAUCACAAGGGGUGAAGCUUGCGGUUU